CGUAUGCAUACAAGCAGUGGGAGCACCUUAAUGGUGUGACUGCGUACCUUUUGUAUAAUGGGUCAGCGAGUUACUUAUAGUGGCAAGGUUAACCGACUAGGGGAGCCGAAGGGAAACCGAGUGUUAAAUGCGCGCGAGUCGCUGUGAGUAGACCCGAAACCAAGCGAUCUAUCCAUGGCCAGGAUGAAGGUUAGGUAACACUGACUGGAGGUCCGAACCCACUAAUGUUGCAAAAUUAGGGGAUGAGCUGUGGAUCGGAGUGAAAGGCUAAUCAAGCUUGGAGAUAGCUGGUUCUCCCCGAAAACUAUUUAGGUAGUGCCUGCAUAUUGAGACUCACAGGGGUAAAGCACUGUUUCGGCUAGGGGGGUAUUCGUACUUUACCAAACCGAUGCAAACUCAGAAUACUGUGAAGUUAUAUAUGGGAGACACACUGCGGGUGCUAAGGUCCGUAGUGGAGAGGGAAACAGCCCAGACCGUCAGCUAAGGUCCCAAAGUAUAUUGCUAAGUGGGAAACGAAGUGGGAAGGCNNAGACAGCCAGGAGGUUGGCUUAGAAGCAGCCACCUUUUAAAGAAAGCGUAAUAGCUCACUGGUCGAGUCGGCCCGCGCGGAAGAUUUAACGGGGCUAAGCAAUUCACCGAAGCUACGGAUGAUAUAUUUAUAUAUCAUGGUAGAGGAGCGUUCUGUAAGUUGAUGAAGGUGUAUUGAGAAGUAUGCUGGAGAUAUCAGAAGUGCGAAUGCUGACAUGAGUAACGUAAUGCGGGUGAGAAGCCCGCACGCCGGAUGUCCAAGGUUUCCUACGCAAUGUUAAUCAACGUAGGGUGAGUCGGCCCCUAAGGCGAGGCGGAAACGCGUAGCUGAUGGGAAACAGGUUAAUAUUCCUGUACUUUUUAUUAAUUCGAUGGAGUGACGGAGAAUGCUAGGCUAUCGUGGCGAUUGGUUGUCCACGUUUAAGCGUGUAGUUAGUAUAUGUAGGCAAAUCCGCAUAUAUUUAUACGAGGCGUUAUGACGAAGCANNUUUUANNUGUGAAGUAGUUNAUGCACGGCUUCCAGGAAAAGCUUCUAAGGUUAGUUAAUAAGGAACCGUACCCCAAACCAACACUGGUGGACAGGUAGAGAAUACUAAGGCGAAGAGAAAACUCGGGUGAAGGAACUAGGCAAAAUGACACCGUAACUUCGGGAGAAGGUGUGCCCACAUGGCUUGAAGGUCCUGCGACUGGAGGGUGAGUGGGUCGAAGAUACUAGGUGGCUGCGACUGUUUAUCAAAAACACAGCACUCUGCGAACUCGUCAAGAGGAAGUAUAGGGUGUGACGCCUGCCCGGUGCCGGAAGGUUAAUUGAUGGGGUUAGGACUUGUCCGAAGCUCUUGAUCGAAGCCCCGGUAAACGGCGGCCGUAACAAUAACGGUCCUAAGGUAGCGAAAUUCCUUGUCGGGUAAGUUCCGACCUGCACGAAUGGCGUAACGACGGCCACACUGUCUCCACCCGAGACUCAGUGAAAUUGAAAUUGCUGUGAAGAUGCAGUAUACCCGCGGCUAGACGGAAAGACCCCGUGAACCUUUACUACAGCUUUGCACUGGACAUUGACUAUAACUGUGUAGGAUAGGUGGGAGACUUUGAAGCACUUGCGCUAGCAUGUGUGGAGUCAUCCUUGAAAUACCACCCUGUUAUAUUUGAUGUUCUAACUUAGGUCCCUGAUCGGGAUUGAGGACAGUGUAUGGUGGGUAGUUUGACUGGGGCGGUCUCCUCCCAAAGAGUAACGGAGGAGCGCGAAGGUACC
RNAcentral lists this ribosomal RNA (1777 nucleotides) under metagenome. RNAcentral's name for it is "bacterial LSU rRNA". It matches the Rfam family "Bacterial large subunit ribosomal RNA", at positions 557 to 2320 of the family's 2925-position model. The record is from RNAcentral.